This 253-nucleotide ribosomal RNA is filed under the name uncultured bacterium. RNAcentral's name for it is "partial 16S ribosomal RNA". It matches the Rfam family "Bacterial small subunit ribosomal RNA", at positions 524 to 776 of the family's 1533-position model. The record is from RNAcentral.
UACGUAGGGGGCAAGCGUUGUCCGGAAUCACUGGGCGUAAAGCGUGUGCAGGCGGUCGUGCAAGUCGGGCAUGAAAGCCCCUGGCUCAACUAGGGGAAGCUGUCUGAUACUGCAGGACUUGAGGGCUCGAGAGGGCGAUGGAAUUCCGCAUGUAGUGGUGAAAUGCGUAGAGAUGCGGAGGAACACCAGUGGCGAAAGCGGUCGCCUGGCGAGCCCCUGACGCUCAGACACGAAAGCUAGGGGAGCGAACGGG